RNAcentral lists this ribosomal RNA (1286 nucleotides) under human gut metagenome. RNAcentral's name for it is "bacterial LSU rRNA". It matches the Rfam family "Bacterial large subunit ribosomal RNA", at positions 702 to 1999 of the family's 2925-position model. The record is from RNAcentral.
AGUGGUUGUAGACGCGAAACCUUGCGAUCUACCCUUGAGCAGGUUGAAGGUUGGGUAAAACCAACUGGAGGACCGAACGAAUAAGCGUUGAAAAGCUUCUCGAUGACUUGAGGGUAGGGGUGAAAGGCUAAUCAAGCUGGGAAAUAGCUCGUACUCCCCGAAAUGCCUUUUGGGGCAGCGUUGUAAUAAAGAGUCUACUGGAGGUAGAGCUACUGAUUGGAUGCGGGGGCUUCACCGCCUACCAAAUCCUGACAAACUCCGAAUGCCAGUAGUAUGAUUUACAGCAGUGAGUGACUGGGUGCUAAUGUCCAGUCGCAAAAGAGGAACAACUCAGACCAGCAACUAAGGUCCCGAAGAAUAUGCUAAGUUGAUCUAACGAUGUUUUGUUGCAGAGACAGCUAGGAUGUUAGCUUGGAAGCAGCUAUUCAUUCAAAGAGUGCGUAACAGCUCACUAGUCGAGCGACAGAGCGUGGAUAAUAAACGGGCAUCAAGCAUAUCACCGAAGUUCUGGGCGCGAGAGCGCGGUAGGGGAGCAUUCCAUUCAGCGUCGAAGCAGUUUCGUGAGGAAUUGUGGAGCGUAUGGAAAAGCAAAUGUAGGCAUGAGUAACGAUAAUGCGGGAGAGUAACCCGCACACCGCAAGACCAAGGUUUCCUGAUCAACGCUAAUCGGAUCAGGGUUAGUCGGGUCCUAAGGGUAAGCCGAACGGCGAUCUCGAUGGAUAAUCGGUUAAUAUUCCGAUACUAACAUAUACCUCGAUGGAGAGACGAAGGAACGUAAGUGCCGCCACCUGACGGAAUAGGUGGUUAAAGGGCGUAGAUAUAGGGGCAGAUUAAGAGUUAGUCCUUGCUGAAACCUGACAGUACAGAGAGCCUACGGGCAAUUUGAUAGAGCACCCAAGUCGACUUCCGAGAAAAUCUUCUAAGUUAUAGUAUAUGUUACCCGUACCGUAAACCGACACAGGUGGUCGAGGAGAGUAUCCUAAGGUGCUCGAGUGAAUCACGGUUAAGGAACUAGGCAAAUUAACCCCGUAACUUCGGGAAAAGGGGUCCCUAUGAAAGUAGGGCGCAGCGAAGAGGUCCAGGCGACUGUUUAUCAAAAACACAGGGCUCUGCAAAUUCGAAAGAAGACGUAUAGGGCCUGACACCUGCCCGGUGCUGGAAGGUUAAGAGGGGAUGUCAUCGCAAGAGAAGCAUUGAAUCGAAGCCCCAGUAAACGGCGGCCGUAACUAUAACGGUCCUAAGGUAGCGAAAUUCCUUGUCGGGUAAGUUCCGACCUGCACGAAUGG